RNAcentral lists this ribosomal RNA (253 nucleotides) under uncultured bacterium. Its description in RNAcentral is "partial 16S ribosomal RNA". It matches the Rfam family "Bacterial small subunit ribosomal RNA", at positions 524 to 776 of the family's 1533-position model. The record is from RNAcentral.
UAAGAAGGGUGCAAACGUUAUUCGGAAUCACUGGGCGUAAAGGGUGCGUAGACGGUAUGUUAAGUUCGUUGUUAAAGGCUUCGGCCUAACCGGAGUUCUGCAAUGAAAACUGGCAUGCUAGAGGGUGAGAGAGAGAAGUGGAAUUCCUGGAGUAGCGGUAAAAUGCGUGGAUCUCAGGAGGAACACCGAUGGCGAAGGCAGCUUCUUGGCUCAUUCCUGACGUUGAGGCACGAAAGCGUGGGGAGCAAACAGG